RNAcentral lists this ribosomal RNA (568 nucleotides) under Mycolicibacterium novocastrense. Its description in RNAcentral is "bacterial SSU rRNA". It matches the Rfam family "Bacterial small subunit ribosomal RNA", at positions 89 to 670 of the family's 1533-position model. Lineage: Bacteria; Bacillati; Actinomycetota; Actinomycetes; Mycobacteriales; Mycobacteriaceae. The record is from RNAcentral.
UCUCGAGUGGCGAACGGGUGAGUAACACGUGGGUGAUCUGCCCUGCACUUUGGGAUAAGCCUGGGAAACUGGGUCUAAUACCGAAUAUUUCCUUUUGGUCGCAUGGCUGGGAGGGGAAAGCUUUUGCGGUGUGGGAUGGGCCCGCGGCCUAUCAGCUUGUUGGUGAGGUUAUGGCUUACCAAGGCGACGACGGGUAGCCGGCCUGAGAGGGUGACCGGCCACACUGGGACUGAGAUACGGCCCAGACUCCUACGGGAGGCAGCAGUGGGGAAUAUUGCACAAUGGGCGCAAGCCUGAUGCAGCGACGCCGCGUGGGGGAUGACGGCCUUCGGGUUGUAAACCUCUUUCAAUAGGGACGAAGCGUAAGUGACGGUACCUAUAGAAGAAGGACCGGCCAACUACGUGCCAGCAGCCGCGGUAAUACGUAGGGUCCGAGCGUUGUCCGGAAUUACUGGGCGUAAAGAGCUCGUAGGUGGUGUGUCGCGUCGUCCGUGAAAACUCACAGCUUAACUGUGGGCGUGCGGGCGAUACGGGCAGACUUGAGAACUGCAGGGGAGACUGGAAUUCC